ACAUUUUAGGAUAGCACUUGCGGUUUUGCUUGUGUCGAACGUUCUGCGACUGAAACAGCGAUAUGAUUUAGUUUACCCACUAGCAUCUGUCCAAAAUGUAACCAAGCCAGGCAGUUUUCACGGUCGGGAAAACUUUUAUGACAACGUCAGCUAAAGUCAGUGACUCACAGCGGUUGGAAAGGACGGUAACGAGACCGGUGGAUCUGAGAAGAUGAUCAGUAAAAAUGGAGCCCAGUCUUUCCCAGGACCGACCUUGGAAAUCCUCUUUUCCCCUGCCUUCGCUAUAAAGGAGGCUUUGUAGUGUCUUUGUGUCGUUCCUUUCCAACACCAUGAAGGGACUGGAUGCUGGGACAAGUGUUCCAAUUAACCGAGAAGCUCCCAAUUUGGUGAGGAGUGCAACCUGAACUCCUGCCCACAACAAGUAAGGAUGCUCCCCCCCCAAACCGACAAGCCGUCCCAAACCUGACCUGGUCUUGUCAUGCUAAUACCCUCCCUCCCAUAGGUCUCCUUGUUGAAAGACCUUCCAAUUGCUCUCUAUCGCUUGUUUGUUAGUUUUGCGCUAACUGCUCUUCACAGGCACUCUUCCCUCAUGUUUAUUCAUCACCUACUUAAAGGGAUGGACGUUGGACCUUAUUAAAACUCAAUCCAGCUCCUUUUCAUUAGGCACGAAUCCUUAGGUUGGGGGUCAAUCGGUCUGGUCCUGGGGGGGCAUGACCCUGGGAACAAUGGUGCUCUGAGGGGUGACGAUGGAGAAGCAUCCCAUUCAGAAUGAAUCCGGAGGCAUGGCAAUGGCCACAUGAAAGGGACGGUGGCAGAGACAUGAAAGAGGGGUGUGAGGGGCUUGAGCUGAAAGAUUCAUCCAAUUAGAGGAUCCACCUGCAUCAGGCCACCAGUGAAAGGAGGAGUGUGGGAGUGAAAGAGACGUCUUAUAAUAGCUGCUAAUUGGAGAGUUGAUUGCUUGCCUUCUCAGUCAAUCAACCUGACCUGAUUGACAGGACUGAGGAGUUUGAGGGUAGUAGACAUGUUGAAAAUGUAAAUGGGAAACCUAUCCAGACUAGUUUCAGCAGAAAGAGGCAUAACACGGGGGAAAAGCAGUGAUGCCUGUGAGUUUGUGGAAUACUCAUGACGGAAUUCAUAAUUAGCUGCACUUGUUUUUAGCAUAGUUGCCUGUUGUGAAGCUCUUGCUUUCCACGGCAUCGAAAAUGAGGGGAGUCCUCAAACACUAUCAUGACACACAUUAGAGCUUUGAAACAAAAUACAUAAUUUAAUUUGAUUAACAGUGACGUUUUACCACUGAUUUCUUCAUUCUCACACAGAACUCAUACUAAACGAUUCUCUUGGCCCUCCUAUAUUUGAAGAUUUUCCUUUACUUUCGCUAACUUCUCAGGAGAGGAGAAAUAUUUGUGGCUGCUAUUGAAAGAAUGUGAGAAUCUCAUUGGACAGAAAUGUCCUCAUGUAAUACUGUGGGAAUUUAGUGUUUCACCUGGUUCACGAUUAACCACUUCUGACAGUUUCUAAUUUACUUGUUGUGUUUAUUUGUUGGAGCUGAAAAUACUCAGUGGGAAAAGGAAUGCCUCGCUGACUGUCUCUGUGGUUAAGCUUGGCCCUUCCCAGGUGUUCACGUAAUAGGGAAAAAAUUGAAACGUUGUGAAGCACUGUUCUGUUGAAUAAUGUGUAGGAUGAGGCAGUUCUGAGCUGAUUGUAUGUAAACAACAGAGCAGAAUCUGGAAUGUCUAUGGUUUUAGCUCUUUAGCAUGUUUGUGGACAUUUUGUAUCAGAAAGUAUUCAUAAUUUCUUCUCAAUGCUAAUUGAAUGAUUAUUAAAAACAAUGUGGAAAUUGAAAUAUUUCAGAAUUUCUGAAAUUGCAGAGCAGUGAUUUCCCAUUAAGAACUUCAGCGAGAAACAACAGCUGCAUUUCACAACAUCUGUGUUCUUUGGAGUGCUGAAUUGUAUACUGUACGGGCCGUUUGGGCACACCCACCGCACUGCUGCCACGGCAACUUGCACGCAGCUCGCGGAAAGCGGAGCCGUGGCCCUGCCCACCUACGCAGAGUCUUUUCAUUGGAGGGAAGACAAUGAGGCAGGAAAUCAAUGGAGGAACACAUCUGCUCAGUAUAGAGAGAGCGAGGGGUGUUCAUCAGGACUGCUUUCAGGUCAUCCCAAGCACGCAUCCCCCCCAUCAGACUCUGAAUGAGUCCCCAAUCACAAAUCUAGCGGAAAGGCAGAGGACUAGAAUUACAGCUAAUGAUGAGGUGGGACCCCUGAUUAUGUGGGGGGUUACCAGAGCCCGGGGCCUGGUCCUAAUGGGGAUUAAUUGAUUGGAAUAAACUGAUUGACAGGCUCCUUUAAUCAAUGCCUCUGUUCACAAGCACCAGUGUUUAAAUUUUCUUCCUUCACUGCCUGUGGAAAAAAGGCUCACAGCCUCUCUGAGCUGUUCCUACAGAGCGGGAAGAGAGGAGAGAGGAAAGAACAAACAACAACAACAAAUGGCUUCAGAAAACAGCCAGAUCUGAGACAAUGAGCGAGAUGACAAAAGUGAAACCAUCCCUCUUUAAACCCCCUUUCUACUGCCAUCUGGACGUCUUUAGUGUGUUUAAACCUGAGAAAACGGUUGGUUAUAAUUGAACCCCACCCCCCCAGCCCCCCAAAGUCAAUGUCCUCUCUCAAAUCAGCGAUCAUGGGAGUUAGUG
Long non-coding RNA from Anguilla rostrata (American eel), 2690 nucleotides. RefSeq lists it as uncharacterized. Lineage: Eukaryota; Metazoa; Chordata; Actinopteri; Anguilliformes; Anguillidae. The transcript has 2 exons. The record is from RefSeq and is a predicted model, not a curated record.